CAGCACCUCAAGUGGUCAGGAUGAUUAUUGGGCCUAAAGCAUCCGUAGCCUGCUUUGUCAGUUUUCGGUUAAAUCCAUACGCUCAACGUACAGGCUGCCGGGAAUACUGCAGCGCUAGGGAGUGGGAGAGGUAGACGGUACUCGGUAGGAAGGGGUAAAAUCCUUUGAUCUAUUGAUGACCACCUGUGGCGAAGGCGGUCUACCAGAACACGUCCGACGGUGAGGGAUGAAAGCUGGGGGAGCAAACCGGAUUAGAUACCCGUGUAGUCC
Molecule: ribosomal RNA, 270 nt
Filed under: uncultured archaeon
Lineage: Archaea
Description: partial 16S ribosomal RNA
Rfam family: Archaeal small subunit ribosomal RNA
Source: RNAcentral